RNAcentral lists this ribosomal RNA (976 nucleotides) under Sparticola forlicesenae. Its description in RNAcentral is "SSU rRNA". It matches the Rfam family "Eukaryotic small subunit ribosomal RNA", at positions 102 to 1086 of the family's 1831-position model. Lineage: Eukaryota; Fungi; Ascomycota; Dothideomycetes; Pleosporales; Sporormiaceae. The record is from RNAcentral.
UAAAUCAGUUAUCGUUUAUUUGAUAGUACCUUACUACCUGGAUAACCGUGGUAAUUCUAGAGCUAAUACAUGCUAAAAACCUCGACUUCGGGAGGGGUGUAUUUAUUAGAUAAAAAACCAAUGCCCUUCGGGGCCCUUUGGUGAUUUUGGAUAACUUAACGGAUCGCAUGGCCUUGCGCCGGCGACGGUUCAUUCAAAUUUCUGCCCUAUCAACUUUCGAUGGUAAGGUAUUGGCUUACCAUGGUUUCAACGGGUAACGGGGAAUUAGGGUUCGAUUCCGGAGAGGGAGCCUGAGAAACGGCUACCACAUCCAAGGAAGGCAGCAGGCGCGCAAAUUACCCAAUCCCGACACGGGGAGGUAGUGACAAUAAAUACUGAUACAGGGCUCUUUUGGGUCUUGUAAUCGGAAUGAGUACAAUUUAAACCCCUUAACGAGGAACAAUUGGAGGGCAAGUCUGGUGCCAGCAGCCGCGGUAAUUCCAGCUCCAAUAGCGUAUAUUAAAGUUGUUGCAGUUAAAAAGCUCGUAGUUGAACCUUGGGCCUGGCUGGCCGGUCCGCCUCACCGCGUGCACUGGUCCGGCCGGGCCUUUCCUCCUGGAGAACCCCAUGCCCUUCACUGGGCGUGGUGGGGAACCAGGACUUUUACUUUGAAAAAAUUAGAGUGUUCAAAGCAGGCCUUUGCUCGAAUACGUUAGCAUGGAAUAAUAGAAUAGGACGUGCGGUCCUAUUUUGUUGGUUUCUAGGACCGCCGUAAUGAUUAAUAGGGACAGUCGGGGGCAUCAGUAUUCAAUUGUCAGAGGUGAAAUUCUUGGAUUUAUUGAAGACUAACUACUGCGAAAGCAUUUGCCAAGGAUGUUUUCAUUAAUCAGUGAACGAAAGUUAGGGGAUCGAAGACGAUCAGAUACCGUCGUAGUCUUAACCGUAAACUAUGCCGACUAGGGAUCGGGCGAUGUUAUUAUUUUGACUCGCUCGGCAC